UAAUAUAAACCCAACAUCCUUGUUCACUUUCAAUAACACCAAAACUUCACGAAAAUCAACUAGCAAACUUCUGAACCUUUAGCAACAAGCGAAGGACUGGAAUAUUGUGAUCUAAUAGGCAGAAAACUUCGAAAUCAUCCAAUGAAACAGUAUAGUUUUGAAUUUUCUUCAUGUUUUUGAUUUUAUUUUUUUUUUGGUUUAUGAUUUUUGUUUGUUUUUGGUCAUUUUGAAAUUUUUAUCUCACUUCAAAUAUGAAAAAUUUAAGGGUGAGAGUUUGGGUGGAG
This 284-nucleotide long non-coding RNA is filed under the name Nicotiana benthamiana. Its description in RNAcentral is "long non-coding RNA (NBEN_LNC003533)". Lineage: Eukaryota; Viridiplantae; Streptophyta; Magnoliopsida; Solanales; Solanaceae. The record is from RNAcentral.